RNAcentral lists this ribosomal RNA (684 nucleotides) under Triticum aestivum (bread wheat). Its description in RNAcentral is "partial small subunit ribosomal RNA". Lineage: Eukaryota; Viridiplantae; Streptophyta; Magnoliopsida; Poales; Poaceae. The record is from RNAcentral.
AUGUCGUUUGGGCUCGCUGCUGCACCCCCAACCUUCAUUGGAGCAGUUACUUGUACUCUGCGACCACUCCUGCGAGAAUGCGUCAUACUCUUCUUCGAUGACAUUCUAGUUUUCAGUAAAACACUGAAACAACAUGUGGAACAUCUCCGUCAGGUGCUGCAACUACUCAGAAGGGACCAUUGGCAAGUUAAACAAUCGAAGUGUGCUUUUGGGCAGAGACAAAUCACGUAUCUGGAGCAUGUCAUCAGUGAACAGGGUGUCGCCACAGAUCCAUCGAAAAUAGAGACUGUCAGGAAGUGGCCUGUUUCUCACAACACUAAAGAGGUGGGUAGCUUCCUCGGACUGGCUGGGUAUUAUCGGAAAUUCGUCAAACAUUUCGGCAUCAUCGCGAGACCACUCUUCAACUUGCUGAAAAAGAACCACCCCUUUGUUUGGACUGCUGAAACGGCUAAAGCAUUGAAACUUUUGAAACAGAGUCUGAUUUCUGCUCCAGUUUUGCACCUGCCAGACUUCUCCAAACUGUUUGUCAUUGACACUGAUGCGUGCGAUUAUGGGGUGGGAGCAGUGUUGCAACAAGCAAGACACCCGAUUGCUUAUAUGAGCAAACCACUAGCUCCCAAGCACAGAGGCCUCUCUACCUAUGAAAAGGAAUGUUUGGCGAUUUUAAUGGCAGUAGAGCAAUGA